This 297-nucleotide ribosomal RNA is filed under the name Pycnococcus provasolii. RNAcentral describes it as "partial Bacterial large subunit ribosomal RNA". It matches the Rfam family "Bacterial large subunit ribosomal RNA", at positions 1649 to 1956 of the family's 2925-position model. The record is from RNAcentral. Lineage: Eukaryota; Viridiplantae; Chlorophyta; Pseudoscourfieldiophyceae; Pseudoscourfieldiales; Pycnococcaceae.
CCAAACCGACACAGGUGGGCAAGUAGAGAAUACUAAGGGGCGCGAGAUAACUCUCUCUAAGGAACUCGGCAAAAUGGCCCCGUAACUUCGGGAGAAGGGGUGCCGGAUUAUAUCCGGCCGCAGCGACCAGGCCCAAGCGACUGUUUACCAAAAACACAGGUCUCCGCUAAAUCGAAAGAUGACGUAUGGGGGCUGACGCCUGCCCAGUGCCGGAAGGUUAAGGAAGCUGGUUAGGAUUACCGAAGCUAGCGACUGAAGCCCCGGUGAACGGCGGCCGUAACUAUAACGGUCCUAAGG